AUUCGAGGCGACGGGCUCCGGGCCCUGAUAGAUGGGGUGCGGGGACGGAGACAAAUGACGGCCUUUGGGCUCGGAAUACCCACCUUUCUGGUAAUGCAGCCCAGCGGGUCCCAGCCUCGUUUUCCAGCCCUCACUCAAAAUGGAGUCGCUCUGGUUCGAACGCCUCUGACAAGUGUGUACCUACGUGUCAGGGAGCCUGCUCACAUGACCGUGUGGAGAAAGUUCUUUCCCUGAGGACCAUCUGGAGUGGACGCGUGCACUACCCCUCUCUGAAUACACCCUCCCCACGAGGCCCUCUGGAGCAUCCUGUAGAGCCAGCCCCUACCCAGAGACCCUGAGCCCAGAGAAUGCGCUGGGUGGUGAGCCUGGGGACGAAUGCAGAGCCCUAGGUCUCCUCUCCAGAAAGACCGGAUUUUGCCAUGUUGGCCAGGCUGGUCUUGAACUCCUGACCUCAAGUGAUCCACCUGCCUCGGCCUCCCAAAGUGCAGGGAUUACAGGUGUGAGCCACUGCACCCGGCCUCAGGCAGGUAUUUUUACCAGCCGAAUACUCUUGCACUGUGCACUCUUCGUGUUCAUCAUCAGUCCCCCGGAUGGGUGUUUAAGGCAUUUCCAAAGCUCUGUUAUUAAAAACACGAUGCAAUGAGUUUCUUUCAGCA
Homo sapiens (human) is the source of this 656-nucleotide long non-coding RNA. Ensembl annotates it as long intergenic non-protein coding RNA 1503. Lineage: Eukaryota; Metazoa; Chordata; Mammalia; Primates; Hominidae. The record is from Ensembl.